This 253-nucleotide non-coding RNA is filed under the name Alkalihalophilus pseudofirmus. Its description in RNAcentral is "Bacillus pseudofirmus T-box sequence". It matches the Rfam family "T-box leader". Rfam says of the family: Uncharged tRNA acts as the effector for transcription antitermination of genes in the T-box leader family. Lineage: Bacteria; Bacillati; Bacillota; Bacilli; Caryophanales; Bacillaceae. The record is from RNAcentral.
AAAAAAGCGAUGAGAAAGAGGAGUACAUACAUAAAGCCUUCUUAAGAGAGCUCGUGGCAGGUGGAAACGAGUGCUGGCUGUGUAUGGAAUGGACUUUUGAGCUGUAGGCUGAACAUAACAAGUAGGCUGUAUCGUGUUAGUCCCGACGUUAUCAGGGGACGCUGUUUCAUAAAAAUGAGACGGUGUAAGCGGGUUUAUUAAGUUGUGCAUAUAAACCAAUAAAGGUGGUACCACGGGUUCUCCCGUCCUUGUA